ACUUUCUUAGUAUUAAUGUAGUACGGUUGACUUCCAAUCAACUAGUCUCAGAGUAAGCCUGAGAGAAAGUA
This 71-nucleotide transfer RNA is filed under the name Petaurista hainana. Its description in RNAcentral is "tRNA-Gly". The record is from RNAcentral. Lineage: Eukaryota; Metazoa; Chordata; Mammalia; Rodentia; Sciuridae.